RNAcentral lists this long non-coding RNA (261 nucleotides) under Medicago truncatula (barrel medic). RNAcentral's name for it is "long non-coding RNA (MTRU_LNC005574)". Lineage: Eukaryota; Viridiplantae; Streptophyta; Magnoliopsida; Fabales; Fabaceae. The record is from RNAcentral.
CUUCUUCUCACUGGUUCGAAUUCCUUUGUCUUCUUUCCUUCUUCUUCUCACUGAUCCCUUUGUGAUCGUGCUUGAGUUCGUCACUGAUGGUGAUGAAUUCGCACUGGAAUUGCGAAGGGAAUGGUUCAAUGAUGAUGAUUCAGUGAUUAAUCACUGAGAACCGUAAGAAAAUCCAAGAAAAAUGGUUGAAUUUGGAUGAAUUUUGAUGAAUUUGUGAAUUAGGGUUUGUGAUUUUUCUCUGUGUUCUUGAUGAUUUUCUGG